UGGGGAAUUUUGGACAAUGGGCGCAAGCCUGAUCCAGCCAUGCCGCGUGAGUGAAGAAGGCCUUCGGGUUGUAAAGCUCUUUCAGUCGGGAAGAAACGGCGCGCUCUAACAUAGCGUGUUAAUGACGGUACCGACAGAAGAAGCACCGGCUAACUACGUGCCAGCAGCCGCGGUAAUACGUAGGGUGCGAGCGUUAAUCGGAAUUACUGGGCGUAAAGCGUGCGCAGGCGGUUCGCUAAGACAGGUGUGAAAUCCCCGGGCUCAACCUGGGAAUGGCGCUUGUGACUGGCGGGCUAGAGUACGGCAGAGGGGGGUGGAAUUCCACGUGUAGCAGUGAAAUGCGUAGAGAUGUGGAGGAACACCGAUGGCGAAGGCAGCCCCCUGGGCCGAUACUGACGCU
RNAcentral lists this ribosomal RNA (400 nucleotides) under uncultured bacterium. RNAcentral's name for it is "bacterial SSU rRNA". It matches the Rfam family "Bacterial small subunit ribosomal RNA", at positions 355 to 747 of the family's 1533-position model. The record is from RNAcentral.